GAUGAACGCUGGCGGCGUGCCUAAUACAUGCAAGUCGAGCGAACAGACGAGGAGCUUGCUCCUCUGACGUUAGCGGCGGACGGGUGAGUAACACGUGGAUAACCUACCUAUAAGACUGGGAUAACUUCGGGAAACCGGAGCUAAUACCGGAUAAUAUAUUGAACCGCAUGGUUCAAUAGUGAAAGACGGUUUUGCUGUCACUUAUAGAUGGAUCCGCGCUGCAUUAGCUAGUUGGUAAGGUAACGGCUUACCAAGGCAACGAUGCGUAGCCGACCUGAGAGGGUGAUCGGCCACACUAGGACUGAGACACGGUCCAGACUCCUACGGGAGGCAACAGUAGAGAAUCUUCCGCAAUGGGCGAGAGCCUGACGGAGCAACGCCGCGUGAGUGAUGAAGGUCUUCGGAUCGUAAAACUCUGUUAUUAGGGAAGAACAAAUGUGUAAGUAACUAUGCACGUCUUGACGGUACCUAAUCAGAAAGCCACGGCUAACUACGUG
RNAcentral lists this ribosomal RNA (497 nucleotides) under uncultured bacterium. RNAcentral's name for it is "partial 16S ribosomal RNA". It matches the Rfam family "Bacterial small subunit ribosomal RNA", at positions 28 to 507 of the family's 1533-position model. The record is from RNAcentral.